UAGGGAAUCUUCGGCAAUGGACGAAAGUCUGACCGAGCAACGCCGCGUGAGUGAAGAAGGUUUUCGGAUCGUAAAACUCUGUUGUUAGAGAAGAACAAGGACGUUAGUAACUGAACGUCCCCUGACGGUAUCUAACCAGAAAGCAACGGCUAACUACGUGCCAGCAGCCGCGGUAAUACGUAGGUGGCAAGCGUUGUCCGGAUUUAUUGGGCGUAAAGCGAGCGCAGGCGGUUUCUUAAGUCUGAUGUGAAAGCCCCCGGCUCAACCGGGGAGGGUCAUUGGAAACUGGGGGACUUGAGUGCAGAAGAGGAGAGUUGAAUUCCAUGUGUAGCGGUGAAAUGCGUAGAUAUAUGGAGGAACACCAGUGGCGAAGGCGGCUCACUGGUCUGUAACUGACACUGAGGCUCGAAAGCGUGGGGAGCAAACAGG
Molecule: ribosomal RNA, 429 nt
Filed under: Gemmatimonadota bacterium
Lineage: Bacteria; Pseudomonadati; Gemmatimonadota
Description: Gemmatimonadetes bacterium partial 16S ribosomal RNA
Rfam family: Bacterial small subunit ribosomal RNA
Source: RNAcentral